UUGAAAAAAGGUUAAUAUUCCUUUACCUGCUAUAUACUAAAAGUGACGGAGAAUGCUAGCAACAUAGGCGGACGGAAGUGCCGAGCCGAGCCUUCGGGCAAAGCGCGGUUGUGAAAGUUCUUCCAAGAAAAGCGAGUAUAGCAGCCAGUACCGCAAACCGACACAGGUAGACGGGAUGAGUAUUCUAAGGCGCUCGGGUGAGCCGCGGAGAAGGAACUAGGCAAAUUGUGGCUGUAACUUCGGGAUAAAGCCAUCCCGCAGCAAUGCGGGAUUCAAGAAAAUGGUUCAACCAACUGUUUAACAAAAACACAGGGCCCUGCAAAAUCGAAAGAUGACGUAUAGAGCCUGAAACCUGCCCGGUGCCGGAAGGUUAAGGAAGGGUGUUCGGCGCAAGCCAAAGCUCCUGACUGAAGCCCCGGUAAACGGCGGCCGUAACUAUAACGGUCCUAAGGUAGCGAAAUUCCUUGUCGGGUAAGUUCCGACCUGCACGAAUGGUCUAAUGAGUUGAACACUGUCUCCUCCGCGAGCCCGGUGAAAUUGUAGUAUCGGUGAAGAUGCCGGUUACCCGCCACGGGACGGAAAGACCCCGUGAACCUUCACUACAACUUUGCAUUGAUUUUGAGCAACAAAUGUGUAGGAUAGUUGGGAGACUUUGAAGCAGUGUCGCUAGGCAUUGUGGAGUCAACGUUGAAAUACCAACCCUUUGUUGCUUAGAACCUAAUCCCCUGCGGGAAACAGUGCAUGGUGGUAGUUUGACUGGGGUGGUCGCCUCCUAAAAAGUAACGGAGGCUCGCAAAGGUACCCUCAGUACGGUUGGUAAUCGUACAUAGAGCGCAUUAGUAUAAGGGUGCUUGACUGUGAGGCAAACACGCCGAGCAGGUGCGAAAGCAGGCUAAAGUGAUCCGGUGGUUCUGUAUGGAAGGGCCAUCGCUCAAAGGAUAAAAGGUACUCCGGGGAUAACAGGCUGAUCUUACCCAAGAGCUCAUAUCGACGGUAAGGUUUGGCACCUCGAUGUCGGUUCGUCACAUCCUGGGGCUGGAGAAGGUCCCAAGGGUUCGGCUGUUCGCCGAUUAAAGUGGCACGUGAACUGGGUUCAGAACGUCGCAAGACAGUUCGGUCCCUAUCUGUGGUGGGCGCUAGUAAAUUGAGAGGACAUGACCUUAGUACGAGAGGACCGGGUCUUAUGUACCGCUGGUGUAUCGGUUGUGCCGCCAGGUGCAAUGCCGAGUAGCUAUGUACAGCAAGGAUAAACGCUGAAAGCAUCUAAGCGUGAAACCUUCCUCAAGAUGAGUUUACUUUUAAGGGUCGUCAGAGACUAUGACGUUGAUAGGCUAUAGGUGUAAAGAUGGUAACAUCAAAGCCAAGUAGUACUAAUUGCCCGUAAGCUUUAAUCC
This 1394-nucleotide ribosomal RNA is filed under the name metagenome. RNAcentral describes it as "bacterial LSU rRNA". It matches the Rfam family "Bacterial large subunit ribosomal RNA", at positions 1419 to 2925 of the family's 2925-position model. The record is from RNAcentral.